CCUACGGGUGGCAGCAGUGGGGGAUAUUGCACAAUGGGGGAAACCCUGAUGCAGCGACGCCGCGUGUGGGAAGACGGUCCUCUGGAUUGUAAACCACUGUCCCCAGGGACGAAGAUGACGGUACCUGGGGCGGAAGCUCCGGCUAACUACGUGCCAGCAGCCGCGGUAAUACGUAGGGAGUGAGCGUUGUCCGGAAUUACUGGGUGUAACGGGAGCGUAGGCGGGACUGCAAGUUGGGUGUCAAAUCUACCGGCUCAACCGGUAGCCGCACUCAAAACUGCAGUUCUUGAGUGAAGUAGAGGCAGGCGGAAUGCCUAGUGUAGCGGUGAAAUGCGUAGAUAUUAGGAGGAACACCAGUGGCGAAGGCGGCCUGCUGGGCUUUUACUGACGCUGAGGCUCGAAAGUGUGGGGAGCAAACAGGAUUAGAUACCCGGGUAGUC
This 440-nucleotide ribosomal RNA is filed under the name uncultured bacterium. RNAcentral's name for it is "partial 16S ribosomal RNA". It matches the Rfam family "Bacterial small subunit ribosomal RNA", at positions 338 to 795 of the family's 1533-position model. The record is from RNAcentral.